AGUGUGACAUCAGCGGUCAUGGAGAGUCUCCAUCCAGCUGGAUCACUGUCACAGACAAACACACCACCACACCUCCACCUACAUCAACAACUCCAUCUUCAUCCACUUCUCCUCCAUCACUGUCCUCCACUGCUCUCUCUGUGUUGUCAUUUCUUAAAUCGAUCUGUGGGUUCUUACUGGUGUUACUGGUUCUAUUAGGGAGACGAUGUGUUCAGAGGAAAACUGAAGCUGAUGGAGAAGUUAGAGAUGACAUCACGUACAGUCACAGAAAAUCUCAAGUCAUCAACAACAGCCAAUCAGAGAAAGUGAUCCAGCUGUUGUCCACUCAGCCCUGAGAACUGAAGACAUCUUUUAUGGACAAACAGCUGCCUGAACAAACAG
Molecule: long non-coding RNA, 381 nt
Organism: Oreochromis aureus
Lineage: Eukaryota; Metazoa; Chordata; Actinopteri; Cichliformes; Cichlidae
Exons: 4
Source: RefSeq, a predicted model, not a curated record